Molecule: ribosomal RNA, 253 nt
Filed under: uncultured bacterium
Lineage: Bacteria
Description: partial 16S ribosomal RNA
Rfam family: Bacterial small subunit ribosomal RNA
Source: RNAcentral
UACGUAGGGAGCAAGCGUUGUCCGGAUUUACUGGGUGUAAGGGGUGCGUAGGCGGCUUUGCAAGUCAGAAGUGAAAUCCAUGGGCUUAACCCAUGAACUGCUUUUGAAACUGCAGAGCUUGAGUGGAGUAGAGGUAGGCGGAAUUCCCGGUGUAGCGGUGAAAUGCGUAGAGAUCGGGAGGAACACCAGUGGCGAAGGCGGCCUGCUGGGCUCUAACUGACGCUGAGGCACGAAAGCGUGGGUAGCAAACAGG